CAGUCGUACCGGCGAGAAAUCAGCUUAUCGUGUGUUAACUUGUGGGCGUGCGUGAGUCUCGGCCUCGCUGUUCGCAUGUUUGUGCGCUUUGGGUGUUACUUUUUCGUAUGGGUUGGCCAACAUCAGUUUCGAUCACUAUAAAAUGACUGGCGGAAUGUAGCUUCGAUUUCGGUUGAAGUGUUAUAGCCUCUGGUAGAUGUGGUAAUUGGGACUGAGG
Molecule: ribosomal RNA, 217 nt
Filed under: Glomus sp. (unid)
Lineage: Eukaryota; Fungi; Glomeromycota; Glomeromycetes; Glomerales; Glomeraceae
Source: RNAcentral